AUUGUACGCUGGCGGCAUGCCUUACACAUGCAAGUCGAACGGCAGCACGGGUGCUUGCACCUGGUGGCGAGUGGCGAACGGGUGAGUAAUACAUCGGAACAUGUCCUGUAGUGGGGGAUAGCCCGGCGAAAGCCGGAUUAAUACCGCAUACGAUCUACGGAUGAAAGCGGGGGACCUUCGGGCCUCGCGCUUUAGGGUUGGCCGAUGGCUGAUUAGCUAGUUGGUGGGGUAAGGGCCUACCAAGGCGACGAUCAGUAGCUGGUCUGAGAGGACGACCAGCCACACUGGGACUGAGACACGGCCCAGACUCCUACGGGAGGCAGCAGUGGGGAAUUUUGGACAAUGGGCGAAAGCCUGAGCCAGCAAGGCGGCGUGUGUGAAGAAGGCCUUCGGGUUGUAAAGCACUUUUGUCCGGAAAGAAAUCCUUGGCCCUAAUACGGUCGGGGGAUGACGGUACCGGAAGAAUAAGCACCGGCUAACUACGU
RNAcentral lists this ribosomal RNA (485 nucleotides) under uncultured bacterium. Its description in RNAcentral is "partial 16S ribosomal RNA". It matches the Rfam family "Bacterial small subunit ribosomal RNA", at positions 30 to 506 of the family's 1533-position model. The record is from RNAcentral.